GUAAGGAAUAUUGGUCAAUGGGCGCAAGCCUGAACCAGCCAUGCCGCGUGCAGGAAGACGGCCCUCCGGGUUGUAAACUGCUUUUGUACGGGAAUAAACCUCUCUACGUGUAGGGAGCUGAAUGUACCGUAAGAAUAAGGAUCGGCUAACUCCGUGCCAGCAGCCGCGGUAAUACGGAGGAUCCAAGCGUUAUCCGGAUUUAUUGGGUUUAAAGGGUGCGUAGGCGGCCUGUUAAGUCAGGGGUGAAAGACGGUGGCUCAACCAUCGCAGUGCCCUUGAUACUGAUGGGCUUGAAUAGACUAGAGGUAGGCGGAAUGUGACAAGUAGCGGUGAAAUGCAUAGAUAUGUCACAGAACACCGAUUGCGAAGGCAGCUUACUAUGGUCUGAUUGACGCUGAGGCACGAAAGCGUGGGGAUCGAACAGGAUUAGAAACCCUAGUAGUCC
Molecule: ribosomal RNA, 445 nt
Filed under: uncultured bacterium
Lineage: Bacteria
Description: bacterial SSU rRNA
Rfam family: Bacterial small subunit ribosomal RNA
Source: RNAcentral